CUUCUCGCGUCGUCAGUCUUUGGGCACCUCCAUCCGUGUCUAUUGUACCCUGUUGCUUCGGCGGGCCCGCCGCUUGUCGGCCGCCGGGGGGGCGCCUCUGCCCCCCGGGCCCGUGCCCGCCGGAGACCCCAACACGAACACUGUCUGAAAGCGUGCAGUCUGAGUUGAUUGAAUGCAAUCAGUUAAAACUUUCAACAAUGGAUCUCUUGGUUCCGGCAUCGAUGAAGAACGCAGCGAAAUGCGAUAACUAAUGUGAAUUGCAGAAUUCAGUGAAUCAUCGAGUCUUUGAACGCACAUUGCGCCCCCUGGUAUUCCGGGGGGCAUGCCUGUCCGAGCGUCAUUGCUGCCCUCAAGCCCGGCUUGUGUGUUGGGUCGCCGUCCCCCUCUCCGGGGGGACGGGCCCGAAAGGCAGCGGCGGCACCGCGUCCGAUCCUCGAGCGUAUGGGGCUUUGUCACAUGCUCUGUAGGAUUGGCCGGCGCCUGCCGACGUUUUCCAACCAUUCUUUCCAGGUUGACCUCGGAUCAGGUAGGGAUACCCGCUGAACUUAAGCAUAUCAAUAAGCGGAGGAA
This 570-nucleotide ribosomal RNA is filed under the name Aspergillus niger. Its description in RNAcentral is "eukaryotic LSU rRNA". The stretch from base 187 to 340 matches the Rfam family "5.8S ribosomal RNA". Lineage: Eukaryota; Fungi; Ascomycota; Eurotiomycetes; Eurotiales; Aspergillaceae. The record is from RNAcentral. RNAcentral also lists the same sequence under 1 other name.